Molecule: ribosomal RNA, 253 nt
Filed under: uncultured bacterium
Lineage: Bacteria
Description: partial 16S ribosomal RNA
Rfam family: Bacterial small subunit ribosomal RNA
Source: RNAcentral
UACGGAGGGUGCGAGCGUUGUCCGGAAUCACUGGGCGUAAAGGGCGCGUAGGCGGCCUGGUAAGUCGGGGGUGAAAUCCUGCGGCUUAACCGCAGGGCUGCCUUCUAAACUGUCAGGCUCGAGCACGGUAGAGGCAGAUGGAAUUCCCGGUGUAGCGGUGGAAUGCGUAGAGAUCGGGAAGAACAUCAGUGGCGAAGGCGGUCUGCUGGGCUGACACUGACGCUGAGGCGCGAAAGCUAGGGGAGCGAACGGG